RNA transcript from Nelumbo nucifera (sacred lotus), 2877 nucleotides. RefSeq lists it as uncharacterized. NCBI's taxonomy places the organism in Eukaryota, Viridiplantae, Streptophyta, Magnoliopsida, Proteales, Nelumbonaceae. The record is from RefSeq and is a predicted model, not a curated record.
UCAUCAAUCCGGCCCCUCCUCUCUCUCUCUCUCUUAACAGUUAAAACAUCGUAAUGGAAUGUGUUUCCCAUUUUUAGUUAAAUAAUGCCUGUAACAAACACGCAAUCUCAUAGCCCUUGAAGGAAAAAGCCCAGGGAACCCAGAAAUCUGCCAUUGUUGCUUGCACGAUCUCUAAAGCAAAAGAAGGCCUUCUUCCCGAGGACACCUUUUGUAUUUGGCGUUUGCUUUUUCUUCACUUUCCAGUUAUUGAGAGUUGCAGAAAGGUAUGGUCUUGACGUGUUUUAUUCAUCUUCCUCGAUUAAAUUCGUCGUCCGAAAGGUGCUUCUCCUUUGUGGGUGUCAGAUGGGUUGCUUUUGCUCUUGUUUAUGGGCAUGGGAGCUGCAGAAAAAUUGGAUCUUUAUCAAUCGUUUCAAGUCCCUGUUUAGAUUUGGAUAGAUAAAGAGGAUCCUCCCUUUUUAGCUGGAACAUCAUCGUUUCUCUGGUAUUUUUGGUGAGAAGGCAAUUGCAGAAACAAUCGAUCUUGUGGAUUUUAUUUUCUUUCAGCAUUGUUGAGUGUUGAUUGGAUUCACCACGUAAGGAGUGUUUUCAAUGGAAUCAAAUACGGUUUUAUUGUUCUUCCUUCUAUGGUUGAAGGUCUCUUGAAGACUUCUGAGCUCUUUGAUCUCUUUCAUUUUAUAAUAAGAUCAGUUUGUUGGAUCGUAAGUUCAUUUAUUUUAAUUCCAGAGUUUUGGAGUCUUGAUUAUAAUGGCUGAGGAGAGGAUUGAGAUGCCAUUGACCCCCGAUAGAACAAAUCCCCAAGGUAGUUGCUUGAGAAGAAACUCAACAGGUAAAACAAGUACACCAGGCAGCAGUGAAAAAAUUGACCCCCAUUAUCGCAGAGCUUCUACCAGUUCCUGCCAUGAUUUCUGUAAAUAUGGAAAGAAAAUUGCGUUUGAAUCAAAGGGGAAGCAUCCUACACUGAAGACAGUUGCUUCAACACCAACUGAAGAUGAAGAUCUGAUAAACUGUUCUACUCCAGUAGAGAGGAAAAAACCUGUGAAGCUCAAACCUUCACCAGAUCUGAAAGUUAAGUUACCCAAUCAAACUGGAGCUAUAAAGCAAGAAAAUGGAGCUUCAUUAUCUUCCAAGAAAAUGGAUGUUAUUGCAAAUGGAACUUCAUCACCUGCCAAGAAAAUGGGUGUCUCUGCAAAUGGUACUUCAUCACCUUCCAAGAAAAUGGAUGUCUCUGCAAAUGGUACUUCAUCACCUGCCAAGAAAAAACAUGUCCCUGCAAAUGGAGCCUUAUCAGUUGCCAAAAAAGUAAAUGUGUCUGCACAAUCAAUUUCAUCACCUGCCAAGAAAAUAGAUAUAUCUGCAAAAGAAGCUUCAUCUGCCUUACCUGCAAAACCUACUACUUUGAAGCCAAAGCCUGCUGGAGUAAAACCAUCUUCAUCACAUAUCAAUCUUUCAGGAAGUCCAAGGAGUACAGGUGACAAGAAGAUAGUGAAGAAUGCAGGGAAUUUAAAAAUAGGCACAAAGAAGGUAUUGGAACCUUCAACAGCUUCUCAGUCCCCUAAGCCUUCUCUUAACAGAGUUGCCAGUUUAAAUACAAGAAAGCUUAGGAUCGUGAAAGCAACCUCUCCUUUAAAGAAUCAGAACAAGAUUAAGAAAGUUCAGCCCAAAUCAUCCAAUGAUGAAGAAACCAGAGAAAAGACAUUGUCUAUCAUUGAACCAGAGCUUGAGAACAGCUUCAAGCCAGAUGAAAAUGGAAACAGUACUACUCAAAGUGAGAACAGCAGUUUCUCACCAGUAGAAAAUGGAAACCAUACUACUGAACUAUCAAAAUCAUUAUCACCAUUGUCAUCAUCAUCAAUGCCUUUUUCCCCUUCAUCCUCUCCAUCUUUGUCAUCACAGGUGGAAGAAGAAAAUGAGGAGACAGAGUCCACAGUUAGUGAAGAAAUGGAUUCCGCCUCUGAAGAUGAUGAAGCUGAAAUUAAGAACCAAAAGCUAAAGUUUAGGAGUGGAAAGGUGAUUAGCCCUCAGUCCGAGAAUGAUGUCCCAAGGAAACUCAGAUUCAGGCAGGGAAGACUAUUGGAGGGAAACCAAAAUGGUAAAGCUGAUGCUGGGAGGAGAAGCUUUAGGAGGAUAGAAACAUCUGAUAGUAACCAAAAUGGUACUAAACCUGAAUCCGAAAAGGUUGUUCUGAAGCACCAAGAUGCACAGGAAAAGAAAGAUGUUCAGGGCUUGUUUAACAAUGUAAUUGAGGAGACUGCAAGUAAGCUCGUUGAGAAAAGGAAGAGCAAGGUGAAGGCAUUGGUGGGUGCUUUUGAAACUGUUAUCUCCCUCCAAGAGACAAAACCUCAUACUACAACCACUGGUUGAAUUCCAAGGAACGCCUCUCUUUUCUUCCACCUUACAUUUAGCUUUGUAAAGAAUAAUCUGACAUAGACAAAGGUUUAUAUGAAAACUGAAAGCUUGUGAAGUUACUGAAGUGUAGAUGAAGAGAGUUCAGUGGAGAAGCCUAAACAAUUCGUUUAGAGAAGGGAUCAAAAAGCAACCUGGAAAUCUCCCACUGCCCGUGACCGUGAGCCACUUUCUACAUUGGUUUCUCUAUUCAAUAUACUAUUUAGUCUCUAGCAUUCCGGCUCCAAUGGGUGGGGUGGUUUCAGAGUUGAUCCACCACCAACCCAUCGAAAGCCUUCAUCAACGGCUGUUAAUGAUCUAUGAAGCUGCUACUAUGAGUCCGACUCCCAACCAUCGUCUCUAGAUAUGUGCCGGAGACUUUACUACACCGGAGUGGGAAGAGGAAACCAUGGCAGCUUACUUCUUUACUAUUACUUCAUUUAUAUACUGAUACAAAUGCAUGGGAGAGCAAAUGAAAAUAACAUUAUCAACGGC